Molecule: ribosomal RNA, 468 nt
Filed under: uncultured bacterium
Lineage: Bacteria
Description: partial 16S ribosomal RNA
Rfam family: Bacterial small subunit ribosomal RNA
Source: RNAcentral
GAUGAACGCUGGCGGCGUGCUUAACACAUGCAAGUCGAACGGAAAGGCCCAAGCUUGCUUGGGUACUCGAGUGGCGAACGGGUGAGUAACACGUGGGUGAUCUGCCCUGCACUUCGGGAUAAGCCUGGGAAACUGGGUCUAAUACCGGAUAGGACGAUGGUUUGGAUGCCAUUGUGGAAAGUUUUUUCGGUGUGGGAUGAGCUCGCGGCCUAUCAGCUUGUUGGUGGGGUAAUGGCCUACCAAGGCGUCGACGGGUAGCCGGCCUGAGAGGGUGUACGGCCACAUUGGGACUGAGAGACGGCCCAGACUCCUACGGGAGGCAGCAGUGGGGAAUAUUGCACAAUGGGCGCAAGCCUGAUGCAGCGACGCCGCGUGGGGGAUGACGGCCUUCGGGGUGUAAACUCCUUUCGCUAGGGACGAAGCGUUUUUGUGACGGUACCUGGAGAAGAAGCACCGGCUAACUACGUG